This 380-nucleotide ribosomal RNA is filed under the name uncultured Nitrososphaerota archaeon. RNAcentral's name for it is "bacterial SSU rRNA". It matches the Rfam family "Archaeal small subunit ribosomal RNA", at positions 471 to 851 of the family's 1478-position model. The record is from RNAcentral. Lineage: Archaea; Thermoproteati; Nitrososphaerota.
UAAAACCAGCACCUCAGGUGGUCAGGAGGAUUAUUGGGCCUAAAGCAUCCGUAGCCUGCUCUGUAAGUUUCCGGUUAAAUCCAUUAGCUCAACUAAUGGGCCGCCGGAAAAACUGCAAAGCUAGGGAGUGGGAGAGGUAGACGGUACUCGGUAGGAAGGGGUAAAAUCCUUUGAUCUAUCGAUGACCACCUGUGGCGAAGGCGGUCUACCAGAACACGUUCGACGGUGAGGGAUGAAAGCUGGGGGAGCAAACCGGAUUAGAUACCCGGGUAGUCCCAGCUGUAAACGAUGCAGACUCGGUGAUGCGCUGGCUUGUGGCCAGUGCAGUGCCGCAGGGAAGCCGUUAAGUUUGCCGCCUGGGAAGUACGUACGCAAGUAUG